This is a long non-coding RNA of Gallus gallus (chicken), 3155 nucleotides long. The record is from Ensembl. NCBI's taxonomy places the organism in Eukaryota, Metazoa, Chordata, Aves, Galliformes, Phasianidae.
AGUGACUCAAAGUUCACCGUUAGCUACCUGGCUGCUGUCCUCAGCAAGUGAUGUAAGCAGAGCAAUUUGGCAGGACCACUCUGAAUUCCUAAAUCACCACUCUGGCAGCUUCUGGUGAGCCUGGAGUCAGCUUCCACAAGAAGGCAGACAAACAUGACUGAAAGACAGCAGAGACUGAGUGCUGUUACCCAAAAGGUGUCACCUUGGGAGAAAGGUCAUGACACAUUGACACAGCAGAGUGUGGGAAACUUAUUCCAUCAUCUUGUUUGGGGAUGAGGACCGCAUGGAUGCAUGCAGAUCUGCUUUCUCUCAUUGGUGCUGCAUUUGCUCAGAUUUAAGUGAAAAAGAUGAAGAGCUUGUUCUCUAUGUUUGCCCUGUGUUAUCUUUUGUAGCAGUAGGUAUCCUGCAGACGGGAUGCUGUUAACUCUUCAGCUGCCUUUCUCUAUCGUAAUCUGCAAAGGAAACAGAAUUAAAAUUUGCAGGGACACAACAGCGUUGCAAUGAGGAAAUACUACGUGAAUCACCACUUCAUCAUAAGGCAGCAUCCCGUGGACUGCAACAUUCAGAAACUUGGAAUUUUUUAGAGUAUUUAUAAAAUGCUGUACCCACCUCCCUUAUUCCAUGCUUUGAAGCUUGCCGUGUUUUUAGAGCAUAUUUAAAAGAAAACAGAACUGGAUCAGCACACUGAAAGUCACCCACAGACAACCUGUUCCACUGAUACUUUACAUUUAUACUGCAUCCUUUGUCCUGAAGGAUUUCUCUGCUUCAUUCUCAUUCCGUGUAGGCUGAUGAGACCGCUCAGGUAUCUGCAGGAGUUAGUCAGGGAACGCUGGGACAUGUGCUUCAUGUUCAGAGGCCAGUAAGGAAAAUUGGGCAUUUGUUAUUUCAUGGGUAGUGACAUCACCAUCUCAGAUCUCCUUAAGGAAAAUAACUUCCACAGCUGAAAACUAGACCUGAAAGCAAACACAAUCUGAAUUCUUAUGGCAAGGAGCUGGAGCGUGCUGUACUUCACAAUGGGUCAUUACUGCUUGCUAUUCCUUCCGUGUUUUGCAUUUACCAUGCUGCACUUCAAACAUUUCUAUGUGAAAUGCAUCACUUUAAAAUCUGUGGAUACAGAAGGUUCUUUCCUGCUUGUUGAAGUAAUUGAGUGAAGUGAAGGUUGAUCAUAAAAUGUAAUGAGAGGGGAAGAGAGAACUCUUAUGCUGGAAAAAGCACUAUAAAUAUUUUCCUGAGAUCAUUAACACAACCUUGUAACACUUCGCCUCGUGCAGCGGAAAGAAUUAUACAAUCAUUUUAUGAACUUUCUAAAAAGUGUUUACAAUUCCAUCCCAAAUAUAUAUGGCUUUUUUUUUUUUUUAAAGCAGAAAAAAAAAAAAAAACCAGCAACCUAUAAUUCUUAAUUCUGCUAUCAAAGUUAUUUCCAGCCUUUGAAGGGAUUCACUUCGCAGGGCCUCGGCAGCGUCAAACAAAUGUUCGACUUUUAUUCUGACACUUCUUGAAGAAUUUGAUUGAAACUAUAUAUGUCGAGAUAACACCCAACAAAGUGCCCCUCUUGCGUUUGUUUCAAGAUAUUUUUGGAAGCAACAGAGACGACCUUGGAUGGAGCUGCUUUUCCAAUUUAGGACUUCAUUUGGUCUAAGAGAGUAAAAUUAUACUCUUCGGUCCUUUUGUGUACCCACAAACAAAACAGUGUUGUUACCUUCUGCUAUUGUAAAAUUGUUUUUCUGUACCUUGUUAGCAGUGUCAAUCUGUUGAGGAUAAGAACUGUUUUAGGUAAUCCACAGUUACAUUCAAACACACAUAUAAAUAGUCCUCCAGUGUAUCACAUGUCCCUGUAAAACAUUGUGCAAUCCAAACGAACAGUGGUCCUUUAUGUAAUGCCUUUCUUUCUUUAUAACUAGUGUUAAUAAAUAAGCUUUAGCCUUUGUCUUUGCUUAUAGACAUCAAGAAUCUGAUUUCAAGCCAGGGCUCACACAGACUUGAUGUAAAGUCUAAAUGAGGAGAGUGGUAAUGCUGGCGAAUGCGCUGCGAUGGGACCGCCACCUGUCUGGAUUGCAGGAGAUAUAUUGUUUGUCAAGCUUCAAGUUUAAAUCCAAGUAACUGUGGACAGCUGACGGGAAGCAACUGUGAAUCGAUCCUGGGAAUGAACAUGUAUUUGAGUCAUUUGGCUGGUUUAUGUCUCCUGUGUAGAGGUGUAGCUUCACAAAAUGCCUACUGCCUGCAGGAAGAACUCCCUCCGAACAGAUUCUCUACCUGAGCAUCAGGGAAGGAAAUAAAUCUGGAACUGGUGACAUUUCAAGGACAAGGAAAACAACCGCUCGGAGAAUUAUCUGAUUCCGUUGGUGUUUAUUUUUACUUAUAUCUAGCAAUCUGCGCUCCAACAGAAGAUGCUUAUUUGCAGAAAAGAAGGCUGUCUCCUGUCUGGACUGGUGCCUGGUCUGGAGAAAAGAUGGCACUAAGGACAAGAGCAACUUCCAACUGCCUGUACCCAUAAAAUGGUGGAAAAUAAAGGGACUGAAAGCAGCAUGAAGGGACGUAAGAGUCUGGAAAAGAACAUCUAUUUUCUCCACAGUGAAGCAAGUUUUAAUCCAAGUUUUGUUUUACUACUCCAUUGAAGACAACAUACUUGUACAAGACUGGUUCUGUCUCCAUAAAUAUCUAUGAAGCAGGAAAGGAAUUUGAAUUUAUAGUGCCCUUAGAGACGGAUACAAUGGCACUAUUAAUCCACAGUAAUUACUGCCCUACCUUGUAGCUGGUAGUUUCUAGGACUUGUCAUGAGCCUGCUGAGCACGAGACUAACUCUCUUGUACCUGGUUAGUAUAGAGACAGUGUGCACUACGUGUUCAACAGAGUGCAAGGUAAGCUCUGAAUGCCAGAAUUCAUUUUUGUGAUUCAAGAAUCACAAAAAGAAAAUCAUCCAAAGUAACUGACUUAAGUAUUAAUACUCUGAGAAAUGGAACUGUGUGGUACAUUUGUGUGUCCAACUUGAGGCACUGUUCUCCUGAAUGCCAGAGACUGCUGACUGCUGGCUUCAAAACCAAAGCAACCUCUCUGCUCUGGAAGUGUGGCCUGAGCUCUAUAGCAAAAUAAUGCAACUUUUAUUGCCUACAGACAAUAUGCAGCAUGACCACAACAGUUAGCCAUCAACUCGUUAC